This is a long non-coding RNA of Passer domesticus (house sparrow), 1176 nucleotides long. RefSeq lists it as uncharacterized. NCBI's taxonomy places the organism in Eukaryota, Metazoa, Chordata, Aves, Passeriformes, Passeridae. The transcript has 3 exons. The record is from RefSeq and is a predicted model, not a curated record.
ACUGGCCCCAGUAUGGACCCCUGAGGGACACUUGUCACCAGCCUCCAUCUGAACAUCUAGCUGCUGACCACUACCCUCCGGAUGUGACUAUCCAACCAUUUCCUUAUCCAUCAGACAUCCAUCAAAUCCAUGUGUCUCCACUUUGGAGAGAAGGAUUUUGUGGGGGACCAUAUCAAGAAGUGCAGAGGGAUGUUGCCCAUAGCUCUUCCCUUGUCCACUGCUGUAGGCACUCCAUCACAGAAGGACUUGCCCUUGGUAAAGCCAUGCUCACUGUCUUCAAUUACCUCCCUGUCCUCCAUGUGCCUUAGCAUAGCUUCUGGAUGGAUCUGUUCCAUGAUUUUUCCAGGCUUAGAGUUCUCGGAACAACAAGACUUAAAGAACAUGAUCUAAGGUCUUUGGACCCGUGGAGAACAAUCCAAGUGACUUCAGAUAGCUUUUGAUCCAGCUACAAGGUCCUUCCACCUGUCUGUAAUGAACUGCAAAAUCAAACCAUGAUUCAAACAAAAAUUCCCAGCAAUUGCAGUGUACUUUCUUAAAGCACAGGAUGAAUGAGUUAUACAAACAGCCACAGCAUGUGAGACAUCAAGGAUGGUCAGCACUGGACAAACUAAGGUGAAGAUGAAGGGUAGAGCAAUAAAGGGCAACACAAAAAGAUCUCCAUGCUCCUCUUACCCCAAAUAUCUACUCCAAAUCACUAUUUUGGAGAGUAGUUCCUGUAUCUGACACACUGUGGCCACUAUUUUAUGUAAGACAAAAAAGUGGGUAUAUAAAAUAAAAAAAAACAAGAGCACUUUUGUUCUGUUGGAAAGAUUUUCUUAUGCCUAGGUUAAAAUAUAAUUUUGAAACCUGAAAACACAGAUCCAGAAGAAAAUUAACUCCUAAAAGUUAGGAUUACAUGCACCAUAUGAUGAAACAGUAUCUAGACAAAGAGACAUCAAAAACGUCUUCAAAUACCAAUCAUGCAGCAAGUACUUCUGUAAUAUGAAAUAUUUCAGAGGGAGGAAUAUCUAGGCAGACCAAUGAAGAGGAUCAGAUUAUACAGGCUACGAUGAAUUGAAACAAGCCUAGAAAAGCCUGGUUUGGCAGCAGGCUGAAAGAGAAUUCCUUUCCACCUCUGAUUUCUCUGAUUCUGUGAAAUCUGUUGGUUUAUGGCAGCAAAGGCACCAAAGUGCUUGA